RNAcentral lists this ribosomal RNA (428 nucleotides) under Mikrocytid ex Palaemonetes sp. HH-2014. Its description in RNAcentral is "partial small subunit ribosomal RNA". It matches the Rfam family "Eukaryotic small subunit ribosomal RNA", at positions 990 to 1391 of the family's 1831-position model. The record is from RNAcentral. Lineage: Eukaryota; Endomyxa; Ascetosporea; Mikrocytida; Mikrocytiidae.
UUGGGGUAUCGAAAACGAUUAGACACCGUUGUAGUCCCAACCACAAACUUUGCUGACUGGCUUUGUGUCACCCUGCGGUUCUGCUAGGGGGUGGUGCGGGGCCUAGGCGAAAGCAUAGUCUUCGAGUUACUUGGAGAGUAUGCCCGCAAGAGUGAAACUUAAAAGAGUUGGCGGAGUCCCAUACAUGAACUGGAGCGUGCGGUUUAAUUUGAUUCAACACGGGACAACUUACCAGGGCCUCGGCAAGUAUGAGUCGUUCUCAAAUGUUUAAUUCAUUUGGGUGUGGUUGAAAUCCAACGACGAUUUUGCCUGGGGUUGUGCAUGGCCACCCGAGGCCGAUGGAUUGAUCUUUUGGUUAAGUCCGGUAAUCGGCGAGACCCAGACUGUUAGUUCUGAACCAAUAGGUGAGGCUGGCAGAACUGUGCUCG